RNAcentral lists this signal recognition particle RNA (95 nucleotides) under Hyphomonadaceae bacterium. RNAcentral describes it as "signal recognition particle sRNA small type". It matches the Rfam family "Bacterial small signal recognition particle RNA". From Rfam's summary of the family: The signal recognition particle (SRP) is a universally conserved ribonucleoprotein involved in the co-translational targeting of proteins to membranes. Archaeal SRP consists of a 7S RNA and homologues of the eukaryotic SRP19 and SRP54 proteins. In most bacteria, the SRP consists of a 4.5S RNA and the Ffh protein (a homologue of the eukaryotic SRP54 protein). Lineage: Bacteria; Pseudomonadati; Pseudomonadota; Alphaproteobacteria; Hyphomonadales; Hyphomonadaceae. The record is from RNAcentral.
GCAGGCUGGCGGCGGACGAGUGCCUCGCCAACCCGGUCAGGUCCGGAAGGAAGCAGCCGUAACGAGUUUUGCUCGGGUCAUCGCCAGUCUGCGCC